Molecule: small RNA, 1648 nt
Filed under: Rattus norvegicus (Norway rat)
Lineage: Eukaryota; Metazoa; Chordata; Mammalia; Rodentia; Muridae
Description: uncharacterized LOC108350978
Source: RNAcentral
AGAAGAAGAGUAGAGAUUUCGCUGUAAAAGCGUAGGGUGGUAAAAAUGUGUCAGGCUUGCUGUCCGCAUGUAACAGCCAGGGAAGACCUGACAGGAAGGGGGCAGGCUUCCAGAUGCCUCAGAUGCACCCCAAUGUCCCAGGAAUGUUCUGGAGCAGGACUGUGAGCCCUCCCUGUGGAUGGGGUAAUAGGAACACGUCUGAGUUCACGUCUCCUCACCGUCUGGGGUCCUUCACAGUCACUCUUGUUUCAAACCUGCUUAGAGUUCAAGAGAGGGCUUGCUCGCUGCUACCACCUGAUGACUUAAACCUCAGCUUUGUGAAACAUCUCUUCCCUGAAGAUUACUCUUCCACCACACAGGAAGUGGAGAUGCUAGAAUCCUGAGGAGUCUCCAGAAUAAAUUCCAGUGCUCAUACAUAAUAAGCAAUUGGGUCCGGAGUUUUGCCUUCAGGCUACCUAUGUUUAGGAUUCCACAUACAUUUUGGUACCACCGAUCCACCCCCUAGCACUAGAGGUGGGGGUGGGGGUAGAGGUGGGAGCCGUCAGGCAACUGAGGCUCCAGUCCUUGGUACUGUGAGCUUCAGUGAUCCCAUUUCUAAGGGCCCAUUCUCUGUGGGGCCAGUCUAGGGGACUGUUGGGACACUGGCACGGGGACAGUCGGUGACAACUAUGCAGCAUAACAAGACAGGGUGUGGUGUGGAAAGGGCAGGCGCCUUGGUUCAAAUUCCAGCUCUUUCACUGUGAGGCCGUGGGAAUCUUGGCUUCUUUACUGAGUCUACUUCUGCCGUGGCUGAGCAAACAAACAGAGUUGUCUAGGAUCUGCCGACUCCUCUUGCAAGACCCAGUCGGCAACAAGCUAUCACUUUCGGAACUCACCCGUGUGGACCCUGCCUGCUGUUCCCUGCCAGGUGCCCAGCCUGGACCCUUUUGUCUGAUCCAUACAGCUCCCUGAGAAGUGGGCAUUCAUUACCUGGGCUUCUAGAAACAAGGCGCCCACUGACUCAUGGAGAUGACCACAGGGUCUGAAGACCACAGUGACGGCCAGUCUUUCCUUCCUAAGACCCAGAAAGCAAUUCCCGAGGAGCCGACAGUGGGACAAUCUACCCCCAGCAACACAGCAAACACAGCAAGUGGGGACAGAACUCACCUGCUUUUGCCGCUGGUGUAUGAAGAACUUUUUCCUUUUGAAAGAAAUUUUGAGUAUGUUCACCCUGUAAAGAGCAAAGCAGAACAAAGCCACGCAUAGCACAAAAAAUAAAGCAAGAUGCAAAUCGAACAAAGGCAUCGGGGCUCGGCCGGGCUACGGCUGACCCUCUUCUGCAUGGGUCCUCUAUUUCAUGAUCCGACGACGACGGUGGGUUGCUGGGAGUAUGUCCUGGCCGAACCCAAGGAGCUGACCGAGCCGGAUCUCCACGGGGCCUCUGGAUGGGGAGGCAGCUUUGAAAGAGCUAGGAGUGCCGGCCAUGCGCAUUCUUUGCUCUCAGUCUCUUUGUGACACUGAAGCCCUGCAGGAGCUGGUAACUACAUGGGGGGAGACAGCUGAGGGCAGUGUGGAGCACAGGGAGGACAGGCCUGGGUUGCACCCCAGCUCUGUUACUUAACAGCCACGUGUGCAUAAUACAGAAUAAAAGGCACUGGUCAUCACCAAA